Small nuclear RNA from Saimiri boliviensis boliviensis (Bolivian squirrel monkey), 107 nucleotides. The record is from Ensembl. Lineage: Eukaryota; Metazoa; Chordata; Mammalia; Primates; Cebidae.
GUGCUUGCUUUGACAGCACAUAUACUAAAAUUGGAACGAUACAGAGAAGAUUAGCAUGGCCCAUACACAAGGAUGAUAUGCAAAUUCAUGAAGCAUUCUAUAUUUUA